ACAGCGGCAGUGCAGGCCGGCAGUCUGCAGUCUCGCAGGAGUGGCACUGCAAGAAGUAGGCGAAGGGCCACACCACAGACGGCCCGGCAGGCCUCCGGCGAGGCCUCGCCCCCCGGACGCUCCAA
RNAcentral lists this non-coding RNA (125 nucleotides) under Togula jolla. Lineage: Eukaryota; Dinophyceae; Gymnodiniales; Gymnodiniaceae. The record is from RNAcentral.